RNAcentral lists this ribosomal RNA (723 nucleotides) under uncultured bacterium. RNAcentral describes it as "bacterial SSU rRNA". It matches the Rfam family "Bacterial small subunit ribosomal RNA", at positions 783 to 1507 of the family's 1533-position model. The record is from RNAcentral.
UACCCUGGUAGUCCACGCCGUAAACGAUGUCUACUAGCCGUUGGGGAACUUGAUUCUUUAGUGGCGCAGCUAACGCACUAAGUAGACCGCCUGGGGAGUACGGCCGCAAGGUUAAAACUCAAAUGAAUUGACGGGGGCCCGCACAAGCGGUGGAUUAUGUGGAUUAAUUCGAUGCAACGCGAAAAACCUUACCUGGCCUUGACAUGUACGGAACUUUCUAGAGAUAGAUUGGUGCCUUCGGGAACCGUAACACAGGUGCUGCAUGGCUGUCGUCAGCUCGUGUCGUGAGAUGUUGGGUUAAGUCCCGCAACGAGCGCAACCCUUGCCAAUAAUUGCCAUCAUUUAGUUGGGCACUUUAUUGGGACUGCCGGUGACAAACCGGAGGAAGGUGGGGAUGACGUCAAGUCCUCAUGGCCCUUAUGGCCAGGGCUUCACACGUAAUACAAUGGUCGGUACAGAGGGUCGCCAACCCGCGAGGGGGAGCAAAUCCCAGAAAGCCGAUCGUAGUCCGGAUUGUUCUCUGCAACUCGAGAGCAUGAAGUCGGAAUCGCUAGUAAUCGCGGAUCAGAAUGUCGCGGUGAAUACGUUCCCGGGCCUUGUACACACCGCCCGUCACACCAUGGGAGUGGGUUUUACCAGAAGUAGGUAGUCUAACCUUCGGGGGGACGCUUACCACGGUAGUAUUCAUGACUGGGGUGAAGUCGUAACAAGGUAGCCGUAUCU